This 372-nucleotide ribosomal RNA is filed under the name Methanosarcina thermophila. RNAcentral describes it as "bacterial SSU rRNA". It matches the Rfam family "Archaeal small subunit ribosomal RNA", at positions 348 to 726 of the family's 1478-position model. Lineage: Archaea; Methanobacteriati; Methanobacteriota; Methanomicrobia; Methanosarcinales; Methanosarcinaceae. The record is from RNAcentral.
AUUUACAAUGCGGGAAACCGUGAUAAGGGGACACCGAGUGCCAGCAUCAUAUGUUGGCUGUCCAGAUGUGUAAAAUACAUCUGUUAGCAAGGGCCGGGCAAGACCGGUGCCAGCCGCCGCGGUAACACCGGCGCCCGAGUGGUGAUCGUGAUAUUGGGUCUAAAGGGUCCGUACCGGUUUGGUCAGUCCUCCGGGAAAUUGACGGCUCAACCGUUAGGCUUUCGGUGGAACUGCCAGACUUGGAACCGGGAGAGGUAAGAGGUACUACAGGGGUAGGAGUGAAAUCUUGUAAUCCCUGUGAGACCACCUGUGGCGAAGCGUCUUACCAGAACGGGUUAANACGGUGAGGGACAAAGCUGGGGGCACGAACGG